Molecule: long non-coding RNA, 274 nt
Filed under: Malus domestica (apple)
Lineage: Eukaryota; Viridiplantae; Streptophyta; Magnoliopsida; Rosales; Rosaceae
Description: long non-coding RNA (MDOM_LNC016642)
Source: RNAcentral
ACAACCAAACCAAGUCAAUGGAAGGGAAGAAAAAAAGAGCUUUGCCCAGAUCUCCCGAAUAACCCCAACUCUCCAUAAACCAUAAUCAUUCAUAAAACCCCACAUACAAAUUAAGUUCCCAACCUUCCACCACAAUUAUUUAUACAAGCAGACAAAUUCAAAUACUAAAUUUUUACCCAACUGUCUAAAUAAAAAACUAGGUUGUUGGCAAAGCCCUCCAUCUGUAAACAAAUCCAGAAACAAUAAAUAAAUAAAAAAUGAAAGAACCCCAUUC